RNAcentral lists this ribosomal RNA (497 nucleotides) under uncultured bacterium. RNAcentral describes it as "bacterial SSU rRNA". It matches the Rfam family "Bacterial small subunit ribosomal RNA", at positions 36 to 524 of the family's 1533-position model. The record is from RNAcentral.
UACCUGGCGGCAGGCUACACAUGCNAGUCGGACGGUAGCACAGAGAGCUUGCUCUUGGGUGACGAGUGGCGGACGGGUGAGUAAUGUCUGGGGAUCUGCCCGAUAGAGGGGAUAACCACUGGAAACGGUGGCUAAUACCGCAUAACGUCGCAAGACCAAAGAGGGGGACCUUCGGGCCUCUCACUAUCGGAUGAACCCAGAUGGGAUUAGCUAGUAGGCGGGGUAAUGGCCCACCUAGGCGACGAUCCCUAGCUGGUCUGAGAGGAUGACCAGCCACACUGGAACUGAGACACGGUCCAGACUCCUACGGGAGGCAGCAGUGGGGAAUAUUGCACAAUGGGCGCAAGCCUGAUGCAGCCAUGCCGCGUGUAUGAAGAAGGCCUUCGGGUUGUAAAGUACUUUCAGCGGGGAGGAAGGCGAUGCGGUUAAUAACCGCGUCGAUUGACGUUACCCGCAGAAGAAGCACCGGCUAACUCCGUGCCAGCAGCCGCGGUAAU